GCAACCAACGCGAACGCGGGGUGCUUCUCCGGGCCGCCGCGCCGCGGAGGUGGGAGGUGGAGUUCGCGCGCUACAUCCCGGCGCCGCGCCAAGCUGGCCCGCCGGCUCCCCCCGGCCUCCGCCGCAUCACCCGCGGCAAAGCAGCUCCGCCACCGCGGGGGCGCGUGGCUCACCGCCGCGUCCCCCGCGGUGCUCCGCGUGUCGAGCCCCGGCCGCCCCUACGCGGGCCCCGUCCUCACCGUCUCCAUCGGCGACGUCGUCUACGUCCGUACCGAGAGCGCCCCCCUGGCUCCCUCUUCUUUCCGCUUCUGCUGUGGCCACACCACGUUGUGUGCCACUUUAUACAUGUCAUUGCUCAUGAUUGAGAAGUUUGCUGUACGUUUCCCACAGCCUUGUGAUGCAGAGUCAUUCUUGAAUUGUGUGAAGGUCUAUACAUCAGGUGUUCUUCAAGAUGUUGUUGCUGCUAAAGAAAUGACUGCUGAUAAAGUUGAAGGCGCUGGUAAAGAGAUUGAUAUUACCAUAAAAAGAGGUAUUAUGCCAUCUAUAAAGGCGGGCAAUCAUCUGCCUGCGAAAAUGCACAGUUUGGUGUUGAUGGAGGAAGCUGCUGUGACCCUCGCCAACCUGGAGAUCAAAGGACAAAUGAGUUGGACCUCCAGCAUUGCUGUGGAACAAACAGGUCGCCUCUUUGGUUCUCAGACAACAUUGAUACCAUCAUGCUGCCGCCGUUCUGCAAUGGUCAUGGCAGAGCCAAGCGCGGUCGGGUCCCUGGGUGUGUCAGCUAUCUGCUGGCACACGGACAUCGUGGUGGCAACCCGGAUCGCUGCAGGCACAACGCAGGCCGUGCAACGCCGUGGUAUGCCGGUGCAGGGAUGAAGCCGUGGAGCGCAAUGCCAACUGGAUCUCCCUCGGAAGGCGCGAGCACACACCGUUUGCCGGUUUCUGAUGAGCAGGAGUGCUAUCCGGCUAGCCGCCGGCGGAGGGUUCUGGCCUCUCCCAUCCGCCCGUGCAUUCUUCUCCGCGCGGGGGAGCUGCCUGACGACAGUGAUGGUGAGUCAAGCUCUGACGACAGUGAAUGCUGAGGCUUCUUGAUUCGGAG
Molecule: long non-coding RNA, 1096 nt
Filed under: Oryza sativa Indica Group (long-grained rice)
Lineage: Eukaryota; Viridiplantae; Streptophyta; Magnoliopsida; Poales; Poaceae
Description: lncRNA OsZS97_06G014970
Source: RNAcentral